This 1813-nucleotide long non-coding RNA is filed under the name Crocodylus porosus (Australian saltwater crocodile). Its description in RNAcentral is "lncRNA (ENSCPRG00005010235.1)". The record is from RNAcentral. Lineage: Eukaryota; Metazoa; Chordata; Crocodylia; Crocodylidae.
CAGCGGCUGGAGGGCUCGAGCUUCCCCCGGAGCCGCGAUUCAGGCUCUGCCCCCGCACGCCGGGGCUGGGGCUGAGUGCCGGAGGCGGGCGGGGUGGGGGGGAUCCUCGGAAAUGGCAGGGGCUGCGCUCAGCUCCGGCACGGCGGGAGCAGGCAGCGGCUUCCUAGCGGCCGCCGGCCUGAAAUGCAGCUCCCCGCGCAGGGAGGCCGCGGGUGGGACGGGCGAGGGGGCAGCGGCACCCCCGGCACGUGCGGCUGGGGCCCCCGCUGGUCUCCGGGCUCCUAACAGCGCCUCUCCCAGGGAUGGGGGGGUCAUUAGCACUUCUUCACUGAGUGCCGGGGGGAGAGGCCCAGGGAAGGAAUCGGUGAUCCCGGUGGGCAGGAGUACCCUGAGCACACCACCUUAGCGGGGGGGGGGCCAGCAUGCGAAGCUAAUGGUGUCCAAGAAGGAGACCACUGCCAGCUCGGGUCUUCUUUCUGGGUUGUGCCAGGCAACAGUAGCUUUCGGGCACCCUUUAAAGGUAAGGCGUGAGACUCUGCAGUGAAUUUGUUUCAGCAGGUUUUGAGGACUCGUCCUAAAGGCUCCCAAAGCACCUUCCAGAGCCAGCGCUACUGAGCCCCAGCAGCCGGGCUGGUGGACUCGGCACAGGCUGCAAGUGCAGAAGGGGCCCAGUUGUGCUUAUUUUACACGUUAUAAUUACUGAGCAAAAAAAAGGAGGAGCCCACGAGUUUGUUAAGACCGACAGUUUGCAACCUUUUGGGACACGGGGCCCCGUCCAUGACUUUUGUGAACUGAGUGGCACCACUUCCAAAAAUGAGUUGCUGGAUUAUAGUGCUUACCUCCUUGCAGAGAGGCCCCACAGCAGGGGGUAGGAGAUGGUCCAGGCAGGGACAAGCCGAAGUCCGAAUUUAUCUGCUUCUCUCGUCGCACCUCGGGGUGCCCGAAGGACCUGGCGGCGCCCUGGCUGAGGGUCGCUGCUUUCGACUAAUGCACCCAAUGCCCCUCGUGACCCGGACGACAGAAGCAGCUCUGUGCGGCCUGUCGUUACCCUGCAAAGCGGUCCCCAGAUCCAUAUUCUCGUCUCUAAAUUGUCGGCGGUUCCCAGAUUCGACAUGGCCCUACAACUGCUUUGUGCUAUACCAGCGCUGCAAAGUGUUCCUGAACCUGACUUAGACUCAUCCCAGAGCAGGGGGACGCUUUGGUGGCAGAGGUCAGUGAACCAGUUUGUAUGCCAUGCCUCUUUUUUAAAAAAAUGUUUUUCUUUCCUGCUGCUCAUCUUCUGCUGCUGUAUUUGGCCCUUAAAGCAAAUGGCACAAGCUAGAGUAGUUUUCAGGAUGCUUUAUCUCCUUGUUCCCUACUAAAAGGUUUUAAAAGCAUGUCCCUUAGUUGCAUUCUUCUUAGUUCCUCAGCCAAAGAUAUGAGCCUAGAUUUCUAAAAAUAAGGUCAGUUAGCAAACGCAGCAAUAGCAUUGCUUGGCACUUUCUCAGCACCUCCAUCUGAGGCGCUCAAAGAACUUUGCAAAGCUUACAGCAACCAGCUGGUUCUGCUUCAACCAGUUACCAAAUGUCCAGUGACUUCAGCAGGACGAGACUAUGGCCCUUUAGGGAACAAAGCCUUGCACCAACUCCUCAGCAAUUCACUUCCUUAUACUUUAAAGAGAGACAAACUGAGCCAGAGAGGGUCAGAGCCCAAUCCUCCUGCUGUACAGCUGGGCCAGGGCUUUCACUGAGCUUCUUCUGUAUUGAAUAACCAAACACAUUUUCCUUUUUUGAUUAAGACCUGGAGUUGACAAUCAAAUUAAACACAACUGCAG